UCGAUUUAACCGACUUCGGAGAGGAAGCCGUCGUUCACGUCGAGGAUGAACCAGUGAUUGGAGAGUUUCACCAAGAUCCAGAUUCAAAUUCAUCUGGUGAUGAUGACUCGGAAACAGACUAGCAUCCAAUUCCGAGGAAGAUAAGGGUUUCCUCGGAAUUUCCUCAGAAUUCCGAGGAAAUAGGGUUUUUAAACCGAAAACAACGUUUUGCAGUUUGAAUAACACUUAUAUAACCCUUAUUAAGUGUCUUAGAC
RNAcentral lists this long non-coding RNA (254 nucleotides) under Brassica napus (rape). RNAcentral's name for it is "long non-coding RNA (BNAP_LNC012145)". Lineage: Eukaryota; Viridiplantae; Streptophyta; Magnoliopsida; Brassicales; Brassicaceae. The record is from RNAcentral.